Molecule: long non-coding RNA, 1017 nt
Organism: Rosa chinensis
Lineage: Eukaryota; Viridiplantae; Streptophyta; Magnoliopsida; Rosales; Rosaceae
Exons: 3
Source: RefSeq, a predicted model, not a curated record
GUGGCAGCUAGUAACUAGUUAUCAUGGUUCUAUGACUUCUAUAUAUUAUCUUGUGCUUUUUCCAAAGAAAGACAAGUCUAUUGUUUUGUUCUUAUGAACAAUGAAAUACUUUCUCUACAUUAUAAGCAGCUUGUCUAUUUUAUUCUCUUCUUUAGUUUAGUAAGUAUAGAAGAUAGGUAUCCCACUAGCAUCAAAGUUCCUUAUUUUAGAAGAUAGGUAUCCCACUAGUUUAGUAAGUAUAGAAGAUGCAUAAAGUUCCUUAUUUUAGAAAAGAGAUUGCAUGAUGCAUACGAGAAACUCUAAAAGACAGGUAUCCCACUAGUAUCAAAGCAAGUGAAUUAUAGUCUCAUAUACAAGGCACCAGAGGAGAAUGGAGAUAAGGCUACAUGUGACGAACUUGGGAUCACUUCGAUUGCCUAUUCACCUAUUGCUCAAGGUACAGUGUGAAUUUUUGAUGUUUUGCAUUCCUUUUAGUAAUGCCUUUUCUGACAUGUUGCUGCAAGAAUAUAAGGAGAACCCAGAUUAUGCACGUUGUGUUGCUAUUGUAGCAUCUGCAUCUUUGAGGGAGAUGAUAAAACCUGGUGCCUUGGCUAUUAUUUCACCUAUAGCAGUUGGUAUUGCGUUCUGAAUAUUUGGAUACUAUCCGGAGGCAAAGGAAGUGAUUGUCAUAAGGGUGCAAUUACAGGAGACAUGGCUUUCCCUCCUUGAAUAUCCAAUGGUGAAACCCACAAAUCCAGCUUAUGCUUUGCCAGUUGAUGUUGUAAAUAUGAUUAUCUUAGCAGGCAUAAAGGAGUAAAGGCUUAAAGCUGUUGGUGCAUUGUUUUCACUUACUUGUGAGGUGUAGGCAGGGUUAAUGUGCAUCACAUUUAUGGACAAAGUUUAUGGUUAGGGUUAAUGUUGGGAUGGAAUGACUUUGUUGAAUAUAUGGAUGAAUGUAUCAGAUCUUUACAUAAAUGAAUCUCUUUUGAAUGUGUUCUCAUUUGGAUUCCAUAUAUGCAAAAUGUAGGCCAUUUGAAU